Chrysemys picta bellii (western painted turtle) is the source of this 3411-nucleotide long non-coding RNA. RefSeq lists it as uncharacterized. The record is from RefSeq and is a predicted model, not a curated record. Lineage: Eukaryota; Metazoa; Chordata; Testudines; Emydidae.
GCCUUAAAAAAUAAACAGAAAGAAACCUGAUCGCUUCUAGCUAAACAUUCUGAUUUACUUACACCUUUGGGUUGUUAAAAGUAGUUUUAGAUAUGAUCUGGUUCAAACUUUACACAGCAUUCCUGCUGCGCCAUCUCUUCAGCACAGAGAACAACAGACAAAGGGAAAGUUUCUUUCCCAAUUUUAAAAGUUCUGCCCAAUCCUUUUCUUUUACCUGUGGGCUUGUUAACCCUUUACAGGUAAAGCAAGAAGAGAACAGACACCAAGAGGGAUUUUAUACCUAACUGGCUCACUGGGUGUCCAUCAAAGGAAGCUACUCUCCCCCCACCAUCCCCUUCAUGUAUCACACACUGUAAGGUCUGGCCUGAUCCAGAAAAGGAUAUUGCUUCUGUGGGGGAAAAUUUCCUCCUGAAAUUUUAACAGUUACAUCCAUCAUUUCACAUUCCCGCUUGUAUUUAGCAAAAGCAACAACAUGCUUAGUUACUAAUGCCUGCACAUUAGUUCUCCCUUUUGCAAUGUUUUCUAUGAUAUACAUUCCUGGUUUAGUUACAGUUGAAACAAUGUCACAAAUGCAAAUGACAGCAGGUUGAUUGUCUAAUGCCUGUACUGUUAAGCAUAGCAAGCGAUUGGUCAAAUCUAUAAGGCAUCCAUGUUUCCUCAGAAAAUAUACUUACAGUAAAUUGUAGGGUUCUUUCAAAUUUGCUAGUGCAAAUACAUGUUUUAUGUCCCCCCUUUUUAUGUCCCCUAUUUCUGUCACUACUGAUUUUGAUAACUCAGCUGUGAUCUGGUUACUUGCAAAUGUUGCUAACACUCUGGGUUGUCCUGAUGAUAAAGGGGAUGAUUUUGGAUUUUUAUCAUUGAUUAUGCUGAUUGAGGCUUCAAUGUCAAUAAUAAAAAAUGGCAGCCCCUCACCAUUGUUGAUACUGUGGUUUCCCAUUUACAUCUUUUUCUAAAGAAGCUACAAAUUUGCAUGGGGCCUUUUGGCGUCACCCAUUCUGUUUUCUUGGAUUUACAUUUUUUUCCGCUUGGUCGUUCUCGUACUCCAUGCAUGGAGUUGAAAUCCAGAAUGCCAGUUCAGUUGUUACGGCAAUGGGUUGAGGUGGGGUGUGUUGGUUGUUCAAUAUCCUGGAAUUUUUUGCAUUUCACACUUGUGAGAAUCUAGUGUUUUCCCUAUUUGACGGAGUUCUUUAAUAAUUAUGUCCAUUAUAGGACUAGGGGGUCGACGAGUCAGGAUUCUCAGGUGAGAGUGGUAACGAUUCAUGUCAGACAUGAAUUGUUUCCUGCUUGUGGUUGGUGAAGAUGGUAAGGAGCAUGUCCCUAUUCCUUUAUUCAUGUUUCUAGGGUCAUAGUAUCUGGGAUUUUGAAUUUGAGGACAUCGUGGUAUGCCCCCCCCCCUUGGGUAUGAUCUGAUUUUAAUAUUAUUAUCCAACCCUGUUGGACCAGGUGAUUGUCCUUAUGUCAUAGUUUGUAGGCCUUCUACUUUAAUUACUGGUUUACCUGAGGCUUCUUGAGCAACUGCUAUAGGAGGGUGAGUUCUUUUGGAACCCUUCUGUUGGGUUUGAAUAUAGGCUUUAGACAACAAAUCCAGCACUUCUGGAAGAGUGCUCCCGGGGUUGACAUGCAUUAUUACUUUACCCCGAACUGCUUCUAAAGAAUUGUUAACAAGCAAAUUAAUAUACUGUGGUUCUGUUUCCUUUCCAGGCAUUUCAUUAGAUAUCCAAGCUGAAGAAAAUUUAUUAUGAAAUUCAUGCAGUGACUCACCAUCACGUUGCUUCAUGUUAGCUACCAAAGUAACUCCUGGUCUGGAUGCAUAUUUCUUUCUAACAGUCGCACAGUGUUUUUGAAUGACUUUUUUUCCCCUUCUUGAAAUUUUGGUGGCAAUGUAUUCCAUAAGGCUCUGUCUACAGUUAACUGUAGAAUCUUAUCCAAAUUCUCUUAAUCUAACAGCAACAGUUUCACUACUGUUUCUAAAUGUGCUGUGGGGGCAGCCACUGGAUCUCCUUUUUUCAUCAGCGCUACCAUUUUUGCAAUGGCUUCUAAGGUUUUUACAUGUGUUACCAUGGCUGUUGGAGAGACAUGUUUACUGGAUUCUACUGGUUCCACAUUAGGAAUUGAUUGAUUCUUCUCCUUCAUGGUUAUAUUGGGGAGUCUAAGUUUCUUUUUCUCUAGAGGAAUUGGUAUCUCCCAACUUUGGGCAACUUUAACAGUAGAUAAUUUAGAUGUAGGGUUUUGCUGUAACCCUUUACAUUUUCUUUUGCCUUGGGUAGGUGCCUGUACCUUAGGAAGGUUUGGCACUGGCAUGGGUUUCUGUGGAGAUUCUGAUUUUGGCUCUAAAGUGGCAUGGGGUACAGUGGGCACAUCAGAUUCAAAAUGAAAUAUGCCACUUGUUCUUUUCAUUAUUCCUUCUGAUUCAGUUGACUUCAAGAUAUCAAAAAUACUUGCUGGAAUUUAAGGUUGCAAAGACUUUUGUCUUUCCUGAGAGGUACUGAUAUCUAAGAUUGCCUUCUUACAGGCCUUCACAGCAACUUUUAUAGUUCCCUGAGUUUCUUGUAACAAACAGCACAAUUGCAGAUGGGUUUGUUACAGGUCUGGCUUACUCAUUCUUUGUCCCUCUUUCUUCUCACUCUCACAACAGCUACUAAUUGCUCUUCGUUUCAUUUCUUGUCUUAAACCUGCAAUAUUUAAUUUCUUAUCAAAACUUCCAUCAAAACGUUUUACAACUUAUCUUUUCCUUGCUUCACUACUGACAGUUUCUUCAAAUCCCCCAUUCUCUCCCUCCGAAUCUUCUGUGUCUGAUACUUCCUCUAUUCUUAGCUCUCCACAUUGUUCAGUUUCCUGUUGUUCUUCCUGUCUGAGUUUAGCUCUCAAUCUGGUAAGUAGGGGUAAAAUUCUACCUCUACGUUGUUGUUCUUCCCCAGGUUCCACCACAGCUACUGGAAUAUCUGGAAUUAUAUUUACAACAUAUAGAGGUGGCAACUCCCAGGGGCAGCAGAGUCGCUGCUUCCCAGGAUAGAGUCCUCCAUCUUUGAAUGCCUAGAAGAGUACAUCUGGUCAUUUAAAAGGCCACAGAAACAUUUGCUUUAAAGUUUCCUUAGGUGGAGCUUGGUCCAAUCAUCGAUUUUUUGAGUAAGGUGACAAUUGGGAAUUCUGGUUAAAGGUUCAAGAUGGCAGAUUGCAGCUGUAUUAUGUGGGGAAUAUUUUGGCUCAUCGUCCUGGUGUUUUUUGGCUGGCCCUUAAGCAUUGCCUUGGGUGGCCUCUAUGGAUUCCUCUCCCCUCUCACUACCUUAAUAGGACUGGAUGACUUCAGUGAAGCACUGCUGAGGGGAGUAAAUUUGGGGAGACAGUGUGCUAAGAAUGUACAAAAUGGCAAGCCCCUUUGCUGAGCAAUAAAGACAGAAUUGCAACUGACAA